AUGGCAGAGGUGCCCAAGGAAGCCUGAGGCUGCUCUCCCAGUCAUGACAAGGGCAGAGAGGACCACAAGCCCAUCCCUUCCCUGAGAGGCCCUUCUGCUGCCACUGUCCCAUGCCCCCGUGUCAACCCCAGGCUGAACCCCAGGCCCUGGGCUGGCCCACAGCCCCCAGCCUCACAGUUGCCACCACCAACAAAUCAGAGCUGCCCAGCAAGAUCAGGAAGUGUGGGGAGGCAGCCUCCAGCUCUGGUGCAGGGCUGCAGGGGCAGGCAGGCUGUGAAGUGCCCAAGGCACUGGCACCGUGGGAGAGAGGGGGGCAGCUGAGCACCCAAGAGUGCUCCUGGCAAGUGCAUGACUGGCUGUCGGAGUUCUGCUGCAGCUAUGUCACCUGGUGCAGUGGCCCAGCCACCUUCCCUGCCUGCUGCAGGCCCCAACCAUUCCCACAGAGCUUCCCUUCGGGCAGUGCCACCAUCCCUGCACAUGGGCUAUUAUAAACCCUUCUACUUCCAGUCUACUGUACCGGGCCUGACCUGGGGACAGCUGCUGGCAUCAGCACCCCUGCUCCAGUUGCAGGCCUGGGACCCUGGGCUCCUCAUGUGUAGCCAUCAGUCCAGGCCACUCCAGUGAUGAAGGGAGGAUCUACAGCCCCUUUGAGAAGCCCAAGUGACCCUCGGUGACAGGCAGGCAGAGAAUACAUUAUUCCAUCCUUGGGCCACAGAUUUAUGACAGAGAAGAUGGAUUUCUUUAUUCUUUCCUUUGUGAAAACAACAAUUGUCUUAAGCAUUAUGCACCUCAGUGGGAUAAAUGAUAUCUCUAAGUUUGCUAUGCAUUAUAUAAUGGAAGAAAUAGAUGAAGACAGAUCAAUGGAAGACUUGCAGAAAAUAAUGGUUGUGGCUCUUAUAUACAGAUUAUUUGUUUGUUUUAUGAGAUAAUUUGCAUUUGGGGAGCAGGUGGAUCUACCCCAGGGAAGUUCCUGCUGGGGCUUCGAGUUGUGACAUGUGAUAUAUUAGUAGUGCUUAUUGCACCAAGUCAGGUUUUAGUGAUUCCUUCCUCAACUGUUAGCAUUACAAUGUCUGCUAUAUGAGCUUUGAUCAAAAAUUUUUGUAUAGCUUCUUUUUUCCCUGAUUGCAUCACACUGCUGUUUUUUCCGCAUAAUUGAAUAGCCUAUGACAUUGUAGCAGGAACCAUUGUGGUAAAAAGAAAUGGGGUCAGAUGA
This 1213-nucleotide long non-coding RNA is filed under the name Homo sapiens (human). RNAcentral describes it as "non-protein coding lnc-USP9Y-8:1". Lineage: Eukaryota; Metazoa; Chordata; Mammalia; Primates; Hominidae. The record is from RNAcentral.